This 75-nucleotide transfer RNA is filed under the name Acidobacteriota bacterium. RNAcentral's name for it is "Acidobacteria bacterium tRNA-Arg". It matches the Rfam family "tRNA". From Rfam's summary of the family: Transfer RNA (tRNA) molecules are approximately 80 nucleotides in length. Their secondary structure includes four short double-helical elements and three loops (D, anti-codon, and T loops). Further hydrogen bonds mediate the characteristic L-shaped molecular structure. tRNAs have two regions of fundamental functional importance: the anti-codon, which is responsible for specific mRNA codon recognition, and the 3' end, to which the tRNAs corresponding amino acid is attached (by aminoacyl-tRNA synthetases). tRNAs cope with the degeneracy of the genetic code in two manners: having more than one tRNA (with a specific anti-codon) for a particular amino acid; and 'wobble' base-pairing, i.e. permitting non-standard base-pairing at the 3rd anti-codon position. RNAcentral also lists the same sequence under 1 other name. Lineage: Bacteria; Pseudomonadati; Acidobacteriota. The record is from RNAcentral.
GCGCCCGUAGCUCAGUCCGGAUAGAGCGUUGGUCUCCGGAACCAAAGGUCGUGUGUUCGAAUCACACCGGGCGUA